Molecule: transfer RNA, 76 nt
Filed under: Enterobacter cloacae
Lineage: Bacteria; Pseudomonadati; Pseudomonadota; Gammaproteobacteria; Enterobacterales; Enterobacteriaceae
Description: tRNA-Arg
Rfam family: tRNA (bases 8-65)
About the family: Transfer RNA (tRNA) molecules are approximately 80 nucleotides in length. Their secondary structure includes four short double-helical elements and three loops (D, anti-codon, and T loops). Further hydrogen bonds mediate the characteristic L-shaped molecular structure. tRNAs have two regions of fundamental functional importance: the anti-codon, which is responsible for specific mRNA codon recognition, and the 3' end, to which the tRNAs corresponding amino acid is attached (by aminoacyl-tRNA synthetases). tRNAs cope with the degeneracy of the genetic code in two manners: having more than one tRNA (with a specific anti-codon) for a particular amino acid; and 'wobble' base-pairing, i.e. permitting non-standard base-pairing at the 3rd anti-codon position.
Source: RNAcentral
UUGCCUGUAGCUCAGAGGAAAGAGCACGGAGCUUCUAUCUCCGUGGUUCGGGGUUCGAACCCUCGAUGACGGACCA